RNAcentral lists this long non-coding RNA (571 nucleotides) under Canis lupus familiaris (dog). Its description in RNAcentral is "lncRNA (ENSCAFG00000056606.1)". Lineage: Eukaryota; Metazoa; Chordata; Mammalia; Carnivora; Canidae. The record is from RNAcentral.
UUACAGCUGUCUUUUUUUUUUUUUUUUUUUUAAGAUUUAUUUAUUAGAAAAAGAGAAUGCAAGGAGGAGGGACAGAGAGAGAGGGAGAGAGAAACUUUAGCAGACUUCUGAUCUGAGCACUCCUGGAGCCUGCCAUGGGGCUGGAUCCCAGGACUCUGAGAUCAUGACCUGACCUGAAACCAGGAGUUGAACCUGACCUCAACCAACUGCACCACCCAGGUGCCCUGACAGCUGUCUUUUAAGGUUAUGUGAAGAUACUCUCUCUGAAAAAACUCAUCUAAUCCCACAGCUCCAUUACCAAAUCUGUUCUGAUUUCUCUGGAACCUAUUCUGCAGCCUAAAUCUCUCUUAAGCUCCAGAGGCUUAUACCCAAUGGCCUCCUGAACAUCUCCACUUGGCUAUUCUGCAAGUACUUCCAACCCAACAUGUAUAAAACUAAACCUGAUAAGUAUGACUUUCUGAUCAAGUGAUUAAAUGCCUUUCUGAGGUAUGAUUAAGGCUAUUGACUCCUUAAUGUUGUAGGACAUUAUUGUUGUAGUUCAAAGCUAAUGCAUGCAGUUAUUAGACACGAA